GAUGAACGCUGGCGGCGUGCUUAACACAUGCAAGUCGAACGGGAUCCCAGGGGUGCUUGCACUUUUUGGUGAGAGAGGCGAACGGGUGAGUAACACGACAGUACCCUGUCCUUUUCUUUAGGAUAAGCAUUUGAAAGGGUGUUUAAUACCUUAUGUUCUGUCUGCCUCGCAUGGGGUGGGUGGGAAAGGCUUUGGCCGGAUUUGGGUGGGUUCGCGGUCUAUCGGCGUGUUGGUGGGGUGAUGGCUUACCAAGGCUUUGACGGGUAGCCGGCCUGAGAGGGCGGGCGGUGACAACGGGACUGACAGGCAGUCCAGACUCGCGCGGGAUGCAGCAGUGGGGGAUAGUGCAGAAUGGUGGAAAGCCGGAUGCAGCGACGCCGAGUGGGGCAGGAAGGCGUUCGGGUGGUAAACUUCUGUAGCUCUGAACAAGGCAUGCCGGUGCGUAUGUGGAGGGUAGGGGUGGAGUAGCGCCGGCUAACUACGUG
RNAcentral lists this ribosomal RNA (485 nucleotides) under uncultured bacterium. RNAcentral describes it as "partial 16S ribosomal RNA". It matches the Rfam family "Bacterial small subunit ribosomal RNA", at positions 28 to 507 of the family's 1533-position model. The record is from RNAcentral.